This 253-nucleotide ribosomal RNA is filed under the name uncultured bacterium. RNAcentral describes it as "partial 16S ribosomal RNA". It matches the Rfam family "Bacterial small subunit ribosomal RNA", at positions 524 to 776 of the family's 1533-position model. The record is from RNAcentral.
UACGAAGGGGGCUAGCGUUGUUCGGAAUCACUGGGCGUAAAGCGCACGUAGGCGGCUUCUUAAGUCAGGGGUGAAAUCCUGGAGCUCAACUCCAGAACUGCCUUUGAUACUGGGAGGCUCGAGUCCGGAAGAGGUGAGUGGAACUGCGAGUGUAGAGGUGAAAUUCGUAGAUAUUCGCAAGAACACCAGUGGCGAAGGCGGCUCACUGGUCCGGUACUGACGCUGAGGUGCGAAAGCGUGGGGAGCAGACAGG